Molecule: long non-coding RNA, 960 nt
Organism: Brassica rapa (field mustard)
Lineage: Eukaryota; Viridiplantae; Streptophyta; Magnoliopsida; Brassicales; Brassicaceae
Source: RefSeq, a predicted model, not a curated record
UUUCAAAAAAAAAAAACUAGAGGACCAUGCCUCCAAGCCUCUCAUCGGUGUAGCAAACCAUGCCUCCAAGCCUCUCAUCGCUGCUACUGCACCAGACAUUUCUGAUGCUGAACGAUAAGGACCCGUUUAUCUAUCAAUUUGAACUUGGAAAAUAGCAUCCCUUUCUGAAAAAAAAAUUAUAUAUCACAUGCCAACAAAAGGGAAUGUAGGUCUUGUUCAAAGAUCACGAAUGUAACGUAUAUAUAUGUAUCAUUUUUUUGUCGGCAUAUUAUUAUACGUUUUGUGUUAAAGACUGGGGUCAAGCCAGAAGUGUUUUAGUGUCAAAAUAAUGCAAAAGAUAUAGUAAAAUUGUUUAAAUGACUUUUGAAAAAGGCAGUAGUACAUCUGUACAUGUGUACAGCUCCUGUAUAACACAAAGGACACGCGUUGUAGGCUUAACGCUACAUUUGCUACUAGGUACACUGCGAAACAAUAUCAGUAAAUAUAUUUAUUUUUUGUUUAAAAGGGAUCAGUAAUACUAAAUAUAUUUAUCAAGAGUGAAUUACUUUGUGAUUAUUUCAUAAGUAGUAUUAUUUAAACUAUUAGUACCAAGACCUAUCGCCAUAAACGUUUUCAGAGUAACUGUAUGAUUUUUCUUUCUUUUCUUUUGGUAAAAAAUGUAUGAUUCUUUUUGAUCGACCUACAACUAUUUCAGAUUUACCGUUCACCUAGUAUUAACUCUUAAUAACCUUUAACGUAAUUAAAUACCUCGGUAGAGGCUUCUUGAUAAAGAAAACGAUAAAACUGAUAUAACAUUACAUGAACUGAAAACACUUGCGUUACAAAAAAAAAACAAAACACACAAACAGAGACUUAUUCGAAAACAUAUUACACACACAUGUACGGUACGACAUGGUGUUGUACGGAAUAUUAGAUAGAAAGGAACAACACCAGACGAUGGAUAUGGUAGAUUUGAGUUAU